UAUGGUAAUUGCCAGCAGCCGCGGUAAUACGGAAGGUCCAGGCGUUAUCCGGAUUUAUUGGGUUUAAAGGGAGCGUAGGCCGUUUGGUAAGCGUGUUGUGAAAUGUCGGGGCUCAACCUGGGCAUUGCAGCGCGAACUGCCAGACUUGAGUGCGCAGGAAGUAGGCGGAAUUCGUCGUGUAGCGGUGAAAUGCUUAGAUAUGACGAAGAACUCCGAUUGCGAAGGCAGCCUGCUGUAGCGCAACUGACGCUGAAGCUCGAAAGCGUGGGUAUCGAACAGG
This 280-nucleotide ribosomal RNA is filed under the name Leyella stercorea DSM 18206. RNAcentral's name for it is "Prevotella stercorea DSM 18206 partial 16S ribosomal RNA". It matches the Rfam family "Bacterial small subunit ribosomal RNA", at positions 493 to 776 of the family's 1533-position model. Lineage: Bacteria; Pseudomonadati; Bacteroidota; Bacteroidia; Bacteroidales; Prevotellaceae. The record is from RNAcentral.